RNAcentral lists this ribosomal RNA (1372 nucleotides) under uncultured bacterium. RNAcentral describes it as "bacterial SSU rRNA". It matches the Rfam family "Bacterial small subunit ribosomal RNA", at positions 28 to 1381 of the family's 1533-position model. The record is from RNAcentral.
GAUGAACGCUGGCGGCGUGCCUAAUACAUGCAAGUCGAGCGAACGGACGAGAAGCUUGCUUCUCUGAUGUUAGCGGCGGACGGGUGAGUAACACGUGGAUAACCUACCUAUAAGACUGGGAUAACUUCGGGAAACCGGAGCUAAUACCGGAUAAUAUUUUGAACCGCAUGGUUCAAAAGUGAAAGACGGUCUUGCUGUCACUUAUAGAUGGAUCCGCGCUGCAUUAGCUAGUUGGUAAGGUAACGGCUUACCAAGGCAACGAUGCAUAGCCGACCUGAGAGGGUGAUCGGCCACACUGGAACUGAGACACGGUCCAGACUCCUACGGGAGGCAGCAGUAGGGAAUCUUCCGCAAUGGGCGAAAGCCUGACGGAGCAACGCCGCGUGAGUGAUGAAGGUCUUCGGAUCGUAAAACUCUGUUAUUAGGGAAGAACAUAUGUGUAAGUAACUGUGCACAUCUUGACGGUACCUAAUCAGAAAGCCACGGCUAACUACGUGCCAGCAGCCGCGGUAAUACGUAGGUGGCAAGCGUUAUCCGGAAUUAUUGGGCGUAAAGCGCGCGUAGGCGGUUUUUUAAGUCUGAUGUGAAAGCCCACGGCUCAACCGUGGAGGGUCAUUGGAAACUGGAAAACUUGAGUGUAGAAGAGGAAAGUGGAAUUCCACGUGUAGCGGUGAAAUGCGCAGAGAUAUGGAGGAACACCAGUGGCGAAGGCGACUUUCUGGUCUGUAACUGACGCUGAUGUGCGAAAGCGUGGGGAUCAAACAGGAUUAGAUACCCUGGUAGUCCACGCCGUAAACGAUGAGUGCUAAGUGUUAGGGGGUUUCCGCCCCUUAGUGCUGCAGCUAACGCAUUAAGCACUCCGCCUGGGGAGUACGACCGCAAGGUUGAAACUCAAAGGAAUUGACGGGGACCCGCACAAGCGGUGGAGCAUGUGGUUUAAUUCGAAGCAACGCGAAGAACCUUACCAAAUCUUGACAUCCUUUGACAACUCUAGAGAUAGAGCCUUCCCCUUCGGGGGACAAAGUGACAGGUGGUGCAUGGUUGUCGUCAGCUCGUGUCGUGAGAUGUUGGGUUAAGUCCCGCAACGAGCGCAACCCUUAAGCUUAGUUGCCAUCAUUAAGUUGGGCACUCUAAGUUGACUGCCGGUGACAAACCGGAGGAAGGUGGGGAUGACGUCAAAUCAUCAUGCCCCUUAUGAUUUGGGCUACACACGUGCUACAAUGGACAAUACAAAGGGCAGCGAAACCGCGAGGUCAAGCAAAUCCCAUAAAGUUGUUCUCAGUUCGGAUUGUAGUCUGCAACUCGACUACAUGAAGCUGGAAUCGCUAGUAAUCGUAGAUCAGCAUGCUACGGUGAAUACGUUCCCGGGUCU